Molecule: unclassified non-coding RNA, 318 nt
Filed under: uncultured fungus
Lineage: Eukaryota; Fungi
Description: sequence contains ITS2
Rfam family: 5.8S ribosomal RNA (bases 1-52)
Source: RNAcentral
AACGCACCUUGCGCCCUUUGGUAUUCCGAGGGGCAUGCCUGUUUGAGUGUCAUUAAAUUAUCAACCUUUACUAGCUUUUGCUUUGCUAAAGGAUUGGAAGUGGGGGUAUUCAUUUUGCAGGUUUUUGAUAAAGAAAUCUGCUCCCCUUAAAUGCAUUAGCGGUUUCCUUGUGGACUCGUCUAUUAGUGUAAUAAAAUAUAUCUACGCUGUUAGAUGUCUACGUCUUAAGGUUAUAUACUGCUUUAUAGUCGUCUUUUAAUAGGACAACAUUUUUUGACUCUUGACCUCAAAUCAGGUAGGACUACCCGCUGAACUUAA